AGGACGAACGCUGGCGGCGUGCUUAACACAUGCAAGUCGAGCGGUAAGGCCUUUCGGGGUACACGAGCGGCGAACGGGUGAGUAACACGUGGGUGAUCUGCCCUGCACUUCGGGAUAAGCCUGGGAAACUGGGUCUAAUACCGGAUAUGACCUCCUAUCGCAUGGUGGGUGGUGGAAAGAUUUAUCGGUGCAGGAUGGGCCCGCGGCCUAUCAGCUUGUUGGUGGGGUAAUGGCCUACCAAGGCGACGACGGGUAGCCGACCUGAGAGGGUGACCGGCCACACUGGGACUGAGACACGGCCCAGACUCCUACGGGAGGCAGCAGUGGGGAAUAUUGCACAAUGGGCGAAAGCCUGAUGCAGCGACGCCGCGUGAGGAUGACGGCCUCGGGUUGUAAACCUCUUUCAGCAGGACGAAGCGCAAGUGACGUACCUGCAGAAGAAGCACCGGCUAACUACGUGACCAGCAGCCGC
This 472-nucleotide ribosomal RNA is filed under the name uncultured soil bacterium. RNAcentral's name for it is "bacterial SSU rRNA". It matches the Rfam family "Bacterial small subunit ribosomal RNA", at positions 26 to 518 of the family's 1533-position model. The record is from RNAcentral.